AUUGAACUCUGGUGGCAGGCCUAACACAUGCAAGUCGAGCGAGCGGCGGACGGGUGAGUAAUGUCUGGGAAACUGCCUGAUGGAGGGGGAUAACUACUGGAAACGGUAGCUAAUACCGCAUACCAUCAGAUGUGCCCAGAUGGGAUGUGCUAGUAGGUGGGGUAACGGCUCACCUAGGCGACGAUCCCUAGCUGGUCUGAGAGGAUGACCAGCAAAGUUGGAACUGGGAAAUGGUCCAGUGUCCUACGGGAGGCAGCAGUGGGGAAGAUUGCACAAUGGGCGCAAGCCUGAUGAAGCCAUGCCGCGUGUGUGAAGAAGGCCUUCGGGUUGUAAAGCACUUUUAGCGGGGAGGCGUUACCCGCAGAAGAAGCACCGGCUAACUCCGUGCCAGCAGCCGCGGUAAUUC
RNAcentral lists this ribosomal RNA (406 nucleotides) under uncultured bacterium. Its description in RNAcentral is "partial 16S ribosomal RNA". It matches the Rfam family "Bacterial small subunit ribosomal RNA", at positions 30 to 526 of the family's 1533-position model. The record is from RNAcentral.